This 1753-nucleotide long non-coding RNA is filed under the name Marmota monax (woodchuck). The record is from RNAcentral. Lineage: Eukaryota; Metazoa; Chordata; Mammalia; Rodentia; Sciuridae.
ACAGGGCGGGGCUCCUCCGAAAGGCGGCGAAGGAGGGGGUCCAGUGAGCUCUGGGGAUACCUGGUGAAGGUUGUCUGAGAUCCUCCCAAUGGAAGAUGAGAGGAUGGAGACCCUCGUGGGCAGAGGGCUGAGGGGCAGGGUCCAAUGGGGCCGAGGAGCCCUUCAGUGUUGAGGGGGGCCAGGGACCUGGAGGGUUCAGGGAGGAGGGCUUCUGUGGCGCCUGGAGGUCUUGGAAGGGGCAGAAGAAGGAGCCGCCCAGUGGCUUUACUCUGUCCAGCCGUGCACAAUCGCCGCACAAAAGCUUGCGCAGUCCAGAAAUUCGCCCAGGCCCUGACCAGCGCGCAAGCUCAUUAGUCAUUCAGCAAACAGUUGCUGUAUGCCAACUCUGCCAGGCUGGGAAAACCGGCGCUUGGUAUGGAGAAAGCCCGCCGGACGGGGGCGACACCACAAGUGGAGAAACUUAACUGUUAAGCACCCACUGUGCCAGGUGAGUGGCCCACGCCUGUAAUCGCAGUGUGCCGGGACAAACCAGGUAAAGUGCCCCGGAGGUCUGGUCCCCAGUACCAAAAGGAAACAGAACCACCCCAGCUGCUGUGCGCAGUUCCCCUAAGUACGAUGAACAGAAGGGUAGACACCUGCCCAGGGAAGCUGGCAACGGACAAGGGGAGCGCCCACAGCAGAGCAGGAGUGGGGCGGGAGGGAAGGGCCCGGAUGUCUACGGGGGGAGGAGCACGCCUGGGCGGCAGGGCUGGGAACGGAACCCAGGCCUCGCCAGGCCUCCCACCGAGUGGAGGGAAGCAGGAGCAGGGCGCUGCACAAGCCAGGCUCCCAUGAAGGGAAGGAAGGCAGGGAGGAUGGGCACAGAGGGCACAUCUCAGAACAGCACUCUUAGGAAAGCAACAAGUGCCAGACAAGCAGGACAUGAGCAAGGAGCCCUGGGAACAGCCUUCCAAGGCCAUGCAUGGAACCAGGUGAGAAGCUUCAUGGGACUCAACAUCCAAGCCCCACAGGAGCAGUGCCUGACUGGGACCCAGGGCAGGGCUGCGAGGCCUCACCUGCAUGAAGACGCACUACCUGUGGCUGAGGUGUGCAGGUGGAGGGCUCUGGGCAGUAAAAUGCCUCCUCGAAACUAACAAAAGCUCCUUCCCACCCCCAGGAACCUUGAAAGUACUCCUGCAGCAGGAACACCACUUACAGGGGCACAAGCUGGCCCCAGGACUCUCUGCUCCCAGCAUGGAGCUUUGGGCAGUAAGGAUGGCCUCAUUGCUCAUGAUAGGCAAGCAGAGUCACGCCCCAGACCAGCUGACCAUGUGAUUCCUUCUUGGAAAGUGACCUUCACAAGCCAUCCCAAACCAGCCCAGGGACCACGUGCUCACCAGCUGGAGUGCCUCCAGGUCAGUGUGCAGGGUACCUGGGCCACGGAGGGCCUGUAGGGGCCCAAUAUACUCUGUCAGUCUUCAGUAGUGUGGGUUGGGCGGGGGUGGGGUGGUGCUGCGCCCCUCCCCUGACUCCCGAAAAGGCAAGGCCCUACUGAGGUGGAGGGCACAAGGCGUCCAUCCUCUGGAGGAGCGCAAUGUUUCUGGGAACGGGCUGGUUUGUUUUUUGUAUUCCUGCUAAUAAGUAUAGUUGCGACUUGUCAUAUAACCAUUACAUAUGAAGGAAAAAACAUGAAUUUUCCAAUUGACGCAAGUACUUCUAAAGAAUAAAUCUGUUUGCUCUAAAUGCAAGGAUUCAGCUGGAACGUAAAUUGUAC